RNAcentral lists this ribosomal RNA (441 nucleotides) under uncultured bacterium. RNAcentral's name for it is "partial 16S ribosomal RNA". It matches the Rfam family "Bacterial small subunit ribosomal RNA", at positions 338 to 795 of the family's 1533-position model. The record is from RNAcentral.
CCUACGGGGAGCAGCAGUGGGGGAUAUUGCACAAUGGGGGAAACCCUGAUGCAGCGACGCCGCGUGGGUGAAGAAGUAUUUCGGUAUGUAAAGCCCUAUCAGCAGGGAAGAAAGAAGACGGUACCUGACUAAGAAGCCCCGGCUAACUACGUGCCAGCAGCCGCGGUAAUACGUAGGGGGCGAGCGUUAUCCGGAUUCACUGGGUGUAAAGGGAGCGUAGACGGCCGUGCAAGCCAGGAGUGAAAGCCCGGGGCCCAACCCCGGGACUGCUCUUGGAACUGUGCGGCUGGAGUGCGGGAGGGGCAGGCGGAAUUCCUGGUGUAGCGGGGAAAUGCGUAGAUAUCAGGAGGAACACCGGCGGCGAAGGCGGCCUGCUGGACCGCGACUGACGUUGAGGCUCGAAAGCGUGGGGAGCGAACAGGAUUAGAUACCCUGGUAGUC